Molecule: ribosomal RNA, 425 nt
Filed under: uncultured bacterium
Lineage: Bacteria
Description: partial 16S ribosomal RNA
Rfam family: Bacterial small subunit ribosomal RNA
Source: RNAcentral
GUGGGGAAUCUUAGACAAUGGGCGCAAGCCUGAUCUAGCCAUGCCGCGUGAGCGAUGAAGGCCUUAGGGUUGUAAAGCUCUUUCAGCUGGGAAGAUAAUGACGGUACCAGCAGAAGAAGCCCCGGCUAACUCCGUGCCAGCAGCCGCGGUAAUACGGAGGGGGCUAGCGUUGUUCGGAAUUACUGGGCGUAAAGCGCACGUAGGCGGAUCAGAAAGUCAGAGGUGAAAUCCCAGGGCUCAACCUUGGAACUGCCUUUGAAACUCCUGAUCUUGAGGUCGAGAGAGGUGAGUGGAAUUCCGAGUGUAGAGGUGAAAUUCGUAGAUAUUCGGAGGAAGACCAGUGGCGAAGGCGGCUCACUGGCUCGAUACUGACGCUGAGGUGCGAAAGCGUGGGGAGCAAACAGGAUUAGAUACCCUUGUAGUCC